This 301-nucleotide ribosomal RNA is filed under the name uncultured bacterium. RNAcentral describes it as "partial 16S ribosomal RNA". It matches the Rfam family "Bacterial small subunit ribosomal RNA", at positions 509 to 807 of the family's 1533-position model. The record is from RNAcentral.
CAGUAGCCACGGGAAUACGAAGGGUGCAAGCGUUACUCGGAAUUACUGGGCGUAAAGCGUGCGUAGGUGGUGGUUUAAGUCCGUUGUGAAAGCCCUGGGCUCAACCUGGGAAUUGCAGUGGAUACUGGAUCACUAGAGUGUGGUAGAGGAUAGUGGAAUUUCCGGUGUAGCAGUGAAAUGCGUAGAGAUCGGAAGGAACAUCUGUGGCGAAGGCGACUAUCUGGGCCAACACUGACACUGAGGCACGAAAGCGUGGGGAGCAAACAGGAUUAGAUACCCCCGUAGUCCCUGUCUCUUAUAC